CCUACGGGAGGCAGCAGUAGGGAAUAUUGGGCAAUGGAGGCAACUCUGACCCAGCCAUGCCGCGUGCAGGAUGAAGGCGUUAUGCGUUGUAAACUGCUUUUAUAUAGGAAGAAAGAGUUCUUGCGAGAACAGUUGACGGUACUAUAUGAAUAAGCACCGGCUAACUCCGUGCCAGCAGCCGCGGUAAUACGGAGGGUGCAAGCGUUGUCCGGAUUUAUUGGGUUUAAAGGGUGCGUAGGCGGUUUAUUAAGUCAGUGGUGAAAGACGGUCGCUCAACGAUUGCAGUGCCAUUGAUACUGGUAGACUUGAGUGAGAUUGAGGUAGCUGGAAUGGAUAGUGUAGCGGUGAAAUGCAUAGAUAUUAUCCAGAACACCAAUUGCGUAGGCAAGUUACUAAGUCUCAACUGACGCUGAGGCACGAAAGUGUGGGUAUCAAACAGGAUUAGAUACCCUGGUAGUCCACACUGUAAACGAUGAUAACUAACUGUUGGCUUUCGGGUCAGUGGUACAGAGAAAUCGUUAAGUUAUCCACCUGGGGAGUACGCCGGCAACGGUGAAACGUCAAAGGAAUUGACGGCNGAGAGAGCGAGACGACGACGAGGGAGGAGG
Molecule: ribosomal RNA, 608 nt
Filed under: uncultured bacterium
Lineage: Bacteria
Description: bacterial SSU rRNA
Rfam family: Bacterial small subunit ribosomal RNA
Source: RNAcentral